Molecule: long non-coding RNA, 1941 nt
Organism: Homo sapiens (human)
Lineage: Eukaryota; Metazoa; Chordata; Mammalia; Primates; Hominidae
Gene: CHROMR
Product: cholesterol induced regulator of metabolism RNA
Source: Ensembl
AUGGGCACAAAAAGCAGGAACGAGUAGCGGUGGCUGAAGAACGAGCAGGAGCUUGAAUUUCAGUUUUCUUAUGAGGAAUUUUCCAGAAAAGAUAUCUUCACUGUGAAAUAACUAAAUAAAUGCCCACUCAGUACAGUCACUGUCUCCCUUUUGGAACUUGAUGGCACCUUAAGCCCAGGUUUGCCUCCACUCUAGAAACUCAUCAGAGUGAUGCCCUUCUCAAAUGGGGGAGGUCCCAAAGCGGAUAUCCUGGCAGUGUGAAAGGCCGGCUAAAGACAAAAAUACCUGCUACAUGCUUCCUUCUGUAUGAAUACAUGAGACCUACCUUCAUUCAUGUUUCCUCUAUGAAGCUUUCCCUGCACUCCAAACACAGAGCUGAGACUUCCACCUAAUGUAGAAAGCUAGCACGAGCCGGCGCUGACAGAUGGAAGACUUGAGAUGUUACAAGAUUAUAUAUGGAAACACAAAAGGAGUGGAGUUGCUGGGUCAUAUGGCAAUUCAUUUGAGGAACUGAGAAGCUUAUUCCAUGGAGGCUGAACUGUUUUAUAUUCCCACCAGCAACGUUAGAGACGGGGUUUCACCGCGUUAGCCAGAAUGGUUUCUAUCUCCUGACCUCAUGAUCCGCCCACCUCGGCCUCCCAAAGUGCUGGGAUUACAGGCGUGAGCCACUGUGCCUGGCCAAACGCUGGUAGGUUUUGAGUGAGACCACAUUACAUUUAAAUAUAUUUACAAUGUUUUCUGCUCUAUUCUUUAGUAGACUUUUCCUCACGUGGUCCUACGCAUUUCUUUCUAAGUUUAUUUUCAUAUAGCCUAUCCCUGUCUACAAUUUAAAUUGGGAUCUUCUAUAUUCUAGUUAUUAUUUGUAAAUAAGAAAACUACUGACUUUUUUCUAGUAUAUUUUCUCAGAAUAGGAUUUUCUAUUUUUCUAUAAAAUGACCAAUGUUAUGAAGCUUCGUAAGUUUUGUCAAAGUGAUACACACAUACAGCAAAAAAUCAAAUAGUACAGAAGUAUAAAAGCAACAACCUCUGCCUUGCCCCUUCUCCACCUUCAGGUCCCCUUCCCAGAUACAAUAAUUUUUAGCUUUUUAUUUUUAAUUAUUCUGGUUGUUACCUACAUAACUCUGGGCAAUAUGGAAAAGUUAUUGAUUUUGUAUAUUAAUUUCAUAAUCAGUUACCUUGAUGAAUUCUCUUGUUUCUAGUAGUUUUUCUUUAGGGUUUUAAAGGGAUACAAUCAUACCAUUUGCAGUUAGUAACCAUUUUAUCUCCUCUUAUUUCCAACUUCGUACUGUUUUCUCUUGUCUAAUUUGUUUUUAAUUGGUGGGUACUUCUAGAACAAGGUUAAAUAAAAGUGGUGUUGGUGGGCGUCCUUAUUUCUGAUAUUAAUGGGAAUGAGUAUAAUGUAUAAAUAUAUAACCAUGAUUUUGGUUUUUUUCCAAGUUUUUAUCAGUAAUGAUUGCUGAGUUUUAUCAAAAUUUUUUUGGCAUCCAUUGAGAGGAUUAUAUAUUACUCUUUGACACAUUAAUGUGGUUAAUUAAAGUAACCAACUUAUUAACCUUGAAAUAGUCUUAGUUAAAUAAACCCUACUUGUCAAUGCUAUAUCAUUAUUUUAAUAUUGUACUGAACAUUUUACAAAGGUGUUUCACCAUAAGGCAUAUUGAUCUGUAAUUUUUUUUUUUCUGUUGAACUUGCUAUUGUCAGGUUUUGGUGUAUUAUGUUGGUUUUGGAGAAUAAAUUUAAAAGUUUCCUUUAUGUUAUCUAUACAUUGCCUGAAAAGAGUUUAAAUAGCAUUGAAAAUGAUCUCUUCUUUGAAGAUUUAACCAAUUUCACCUGUAAAUCUGUCUGUGCUUUGUAAUUUUGGUGAUACUGUUGACUCAAAUUCCAAAAGCAGUAAAUGCAGUGUUUUAUAUUUUUCUAUUAAAAAUGUAAAAUCAAAUUAUAUUA